GGAUGUAAUUCCAUUUAUAGUAGCUAUAAGUAAAACCAUAGGAAUGAACCAAAGUAGUGAACAGUCUCCACAAUAAAAAUUAUAAAACACUGAUGCAGCCAGGCACAGUGGCUCCUGCCCGAGAUUACAGAAUCCCAGCACUUUGGGAGGCUGAGGCAGGGAGAUCAUAAGGUCAGGAGAUUGAGAACAUCUUGGCCAACAUGGUGAAACCCCGUCUCUACUAAAAAUACAAAAAUUAGCUGGGCGUGGUUGUGCGUGCCUGUAGUCGCAGCUACUCUGGAGGCUGAGGCAGGAGAAUCGCUUGAAUCUGGAAGGUGGAGGUUGCAGUGAGCUGAGCAAAUAAUGGAAAGAUAUUCCAUGUUCACGGAUUCAAAAAAGCAAUAUUGUUAAAGUGUCCACACUACCCAAAGCAAUUUACAGAUUCAAUGCAAUCCCUAUCAAAAUAACAAUGACAUUCUUUACAGAAAUAGAAAAAAAUUAUUCUAAAUUUUAUAUGCAACCACAUAAGACCAAAAACAGUCAAAGCUAUCCUGAGCAAAAAACAAAACUGGAGGAAUCAUAUUACCUGACUUCAAAUCAUUCUACAGAGCUGUAGUAACCAAAAUGGCAUAAUGCUGGCAUAGUAACUGACACAUAGACUGGUGGAACAGAAUAGAGAACCCACAAACAAAUCUAAACAUCUACAGUGAAGUCAUUUUCAACAAAGGUACUAAGACUGCACACUGGGGAAAGGAUGAUCUCUUCAAUAAAUGCUGCUGGGAAAACUGAAUAUCCAUAAGCAGAAGAAUGAACCCUGUAUCUUUCCUUACACCAAGGGAGACAAAAACUGAAGCAAGGAGACCAUUUAGAGGACUACUUCAAUAUUACAACAGAGAAAAGAUAAUGAUCAUUCUAAAGGCCUAUCCACUGAAAAGUUGUAGAAGCAUUAAGCAAAAGAGAUGCAGGAAGCUCCUUGGGAGCAAAACUUUGGUUUCUAUGUACCAUCACUCACUGGAAGGAACCAGGGCUUCUUGGAGAAAUGGCUGCUUGCUGGUUGCAGGCAGGCAACAUGUGAUAUCAAUCUAGAGGAUCUUGUCAUACUGGAAAGCAAAGAUGCUUUUAUACCCCACAAGGGUCAUGUUCAUAUGAUCCAGGAGGCAACUUGAAGAAGCACCCACUAUCCAAACAUGAAAUAAUGUAAGCAUCAAUAAUAAUGAUGACUACAAUGAACAGAUGCACACUUCUGUUUAAAUCCUUAUGUUUAUAAUGACAUUAAAACUUACAGUCAAUAGAAUAGAUACAAUAUGAUCUAGAUCUAAAACUUGCGAUAAAAAGACUGCAGUAGGUUCCCUUAUUUAUGGGCAUACUUUUCAAGACCUCCAGUUGAUGCCUGAAACCACAGAUAAUACUACACCCUAUAUCAGCACUUUUCACACUAUGGCUGUAACUUUUGCAGUUUGAGGUGUAGCAGCAAAAUUGGCAAGAAUUUCUUUUUCCUUCUUCACAGUUUCAUGGUAAAAAAUUCAUUCUUACCAUAGAUUUUAGCAAUCUCAGCCUACAGAUUUUUUCUUUCCUUAUUAAGUGAAGAGCUUUCAUAUUUUCACUUAGAGGAAACACUUUAAGUUUUCUACAUUGUAUAUCUGAAUUUUCAGCAUCACUACUCUUAUGCAUUGGAGCCAGUAUUGAGCAAACACUGUUAUACUAGGACAGUUGAUCUGAUAGCUACUUCAUAUCUGUUAAGACACUAGAAGGAGAGGGGAAUGAGACAUGACUACUAAUGGGUAUUGGCUUUCUUUUUUGAGAUCAUGAAAAUAUUCUGGAAAUAGAUAAUGAUGAUCAUGGCACGACUCUGUAGUCAACUCAAGUAGUUCUGUUAACUACUAAGUGACUAAACAUUCAGGUGACAGAGACGGUGUGGAUCUGCUGGACAAGGGGAUGAUUCACAUUCUGGGGAAGACAGGACAGGGCAGCAGGAGACUGCAUCACACUCCUCAAAACAACACACAGCUUAAAACUACAAUUGGUCUAUUUCUAGAGUUUUCCAUUUAAUAUUUUUAGACUGAGGUUUAACACAGGUAACUGAAACUGGGGAAAGUGAAGCCACAAAUAAGGGGCACUACUGAGUUAUAAACAUGUUUAAGGACUUUAAAAAAAAUUGUAUCAGAUGUGAAAUCUCAGCAAAAAUAAAAACUAAAAAAAUUAAAAUUAAAAGUUCCAGGACAUAAAAAUACAAUAUUUGAAAUAAAAAAUGCACCAGACUGAGAAGAGACAGGAAAUUAUUACCCAAAAUUCAACAAAAAAUAAUCAGUCAAUUUCUAGUUUCUCCAAGUGCUUUCCAGGAUCCUGGGAAACUAGCUCACAAUUUAGGAAACUGGUAAAUAAAAGAGUAAGUGAUAAAUAAGAAAUGGUAAGUAAAGGGAAAUAAUCAAAUAUCCUGCCUUUUCUCCAAAAAUAACACCUCAGGGUUACCAAAGAGAUAAUGAGGAAAAAUUCUCUUAAUGGAAGUUUUCUAUUUAAUACAUGAAAAGGAAUAAUAGAAAUAGAAUUGCUUCACUUGUUAACCUCUAAUUACGUAAUUAAUCUGGAAUAUAUCAUCAGCAGUUGCUCUUAGUUGGGUUCCGUCAAGAAAACAGCCAAUUAAGAACUCCAGAAAUAAGCAAUUUAAUAUAGGAAUUAAUGCCUACAUUCACGUGAAUGCCACCUGCAGCAGAUUGCAUAGAAAGUUACAACUACCACCACAGGCCAGACACGAUGGCUCAGGUCUGUAAUCCCAGUGUUUUGGGAGGCGGAGGUGGGAGGAUCACUUGAAGCUAGGAGUUUGAGACCAGCUUGGGCAACAUAGCAAGACCUUGUUAUUAAGAUAAUUUUUUAAAAUUAGCCAUGCAUAGUGAUGGGUGUCUGUAGUCUCAAUUACUUGGGAGGCUUAGGCAGGAGGAUUCCUUAAACCCAGGAGUUCAAGGCUGCAGUGAGAUAUAAUUAUGCCAUUACACUCCAGCCUUGGAGACAGAGUGGGAUCUUGUCUUUAAAGAAAAAGAAAGAAAAGGAAAAACAACCAUAAAUGGCAUCAACUUAAAACAUUGUAGGGAAAGCGGCAGCUCAUCAAAGAAUCCAAGAAACUUCUGCAUCCAUUUUGAUUGUGAAGUACCAGCUUAUCAAAAAUGUAUGAUUGUGAUGAUUGUGCUAUGUCUGAAUGCUAGUGUUGCUAAGGAGAUACUUGUAAAGAGCCCUGCGAAGCCUCCAUGCUAAGAAUGAUUUCUGUUUUACUUUUAUCUUCCAAAUUGUGUGUGAAUUUUCCUCAUUUGCAAAUCCUAUAAAAAUUCAUUCAGGGAAUAGGAUUCAAGAAUAUGGAGUUCCUAGUUUUAGAAAAGUGUAGUGAUACUACCAAGUUGACAAGACAAUUCAGCACAGCUGAU
Long non-coding RNA from Callithrix jacchus (white-tufted-ear marmoset), 3392 nucleotides. The record is from Ensembl. Lineage: Eukaryota; Metazoa; Chordata; Mammalia; Primates; Cebidae.